This 746-nucleotide long non-coding RNA is filed under the name Coffea arabica (coffee). RNAcentral describes it as "long non-coding RNA (CARA_LNC003389)". The record is from RNAcentral. Lineage: Eukaryota; Viridiplantae; Streptophyta; Magnoliopsida; Gentianales; Rubiaceae.
GCGUGGGAUAUGUAAAGAAUAGUGUAGUCUAGUUGUUUUGAUUUUGACUUGUACUCACGCUAUUACUCGAAUCGAACGUUUAGUAUCUAAAUUGUGUACACCUUGAACCAGUUUGGGUAUAUUGAGACUUUGUAUCUUAAUUGUGUAUCAAUGUAAAUUAUAAGUUGGAAUCGUGAUAUUGUUAUAGUCCAUGGUUGUAUGCAUGUGAUACGAGUGAGUGAGUCCUGGCGAGAGUUGGGCAGGUGGUCCGCCGAACCCUUUGGUACGCCCUAGGGUAAGGUGGGGUCGUCACAAUUGGUAUCUCACGAGCGUAAUCUCACCCUCGUUACUUUUGUUUUCCUUACAGGAACAUCCUUUGGAAUCAUGUUUUGAAACAAGUUGAGCUAGCUAGGCAUUCUUUUGUUCGUAUAGUUCCUCGUUGGAUUUAGGGUUUGGUUUUUGGCAAACCCUAAUUGUAACCGAAUCGAUUGAACACUUUCUUUUGUUUGGUAUUUGUAAAACUACGAUUAUAAGAGGAUGUUAUUUCAUGUCUACAUGACGUAUAUCUAUUUCCUUGGUUUGUACCUAUUACAUAGGUGAUUACUGGUUUCUUGUCUUUGGUAGGAUUUCGAUCAAUUUCGAGAGUUGAGUGGGAAAAGGAAAAUUUUUUGGAUGGCACUGUUCACUGAAUCCAACCAGAAAUCCGGCCAAGUUCUGGCCGGAUAGCUAGCCGGAUAGGUAUAGGAAUUGAAAAAAAAAUUGAUUCC